RNAcentral lists this ribosomal RNA (447 nucleotides) under uncultured bacterium. RNAcentral's name for it is "bacterial SSU rRNA". It matches the Rfam family "Bacterial small subunit ribosomal RNA", at positions 329 to 793 of the family's 1533-position model. The record is from RNAcentral.
AGCCAGACUCCUACGGGAGGCAGCAGUGGGGAAUAUUACACGAUGGGGGGAACCCUGAUGCAGCGACGCCGCGUGAGUGAAGAAGUAUUUCGGUAUGUAAAGCUCUAUCAGCAGGGAAGAAAAUGACGGUACCUGACUAAGAAGCCCCGGCUAACUACGUGCCAGCAGCCGCGGUAAUACGUAGGGGGCGAGCGUUAUCCGGAUUUAUUGGGUGUAAAGGGCGUGUAGGCGGGAGCGCAAGUCAGAUGUGAAAACUCAGGGCUCAACCCUGAGCCUGCAUUUGAAACUGUGUUUCUUGAGUGCUGGAGAGGCAAUCGGAAUUCCGUGUGUAGCGGUGAAAUGCGUAGAUAUAAGGAAGAACACCAGUGGCGAAGGCGGAUUACUGGACGAUAACUGACGGUGAGGCGCGAAAGCGUGGGGAGCAAACAGGAUUAGAUACCCUCGUAC